RNAcentral lists this long non-coding RNA (1374 nucleotides) under Homo sapiens (human). RNAcentral's name for it is "HSALNT0114657". Lineage: Eukaryota; Metazoa; Chordata; Mammalia; Primates; Hominidae. The record is from RNAcentral.
AGUAAGACAUUAAUAAUAUUCCCUUCUGAAUAGUAUGGUUAACUGCCCGCCUCCAACCCAGUGUGUCCCUCACUGCUUCGUUAAUUACCUUAAUUAUUUGUUUAACCUCUUAAAGAUUUUUUCAAUAUAAAAUAAUAUCAAGAGAACUACUUAAUUGAGUACUCUUCCUCACUUUCUUCCAGCCCUAACCAACCACCCCAUUUCCCCAAAUACACCUGUACUAAAUCAGGUAUAUAUCAGGAAAUACAUGGGCUGGUUAAUUCCUGGUCUUCAAUUUCUGUCCUUUAUUAGUAAAGAAAACAUUCUACUGCUUUACACAGUGCUUUGUGCCUUAAAUGAGAUUUCUCCUAGACCGCAAUAAAUAUUUGCUAAUUUUGAUUUAAUUUAAAGACGAGGGAGGUUAAUCAAGAGCAAUUAAUCAAGAGCACAAACUAGAUGUCAUAAAUAAAUAAAUACAUUUUAAAAUUCUCCAACAACCUUUGAGUUAUUUCUAGUCUAGCAAUAUUCAUUCUGAUUUGGAAACCAAAAGUAAAAUUCUAUGGCCCCCAACCAACUGAAUGGAUCCCUCCUCUGGGCCAAGGGCAUUCUAAAGUAAACCUGAAACACUAGUUCAGGCCGUGAUGGGAAUGGGUGGUUGGACAUGCCUCAUUAUAACUUCCUCUCUUUGGAAUUCAGGCACAGCUGACUAGCAUUAACAUUAAUACAGCGACCUUAUGAUUGACAAAACAGACUCUCUCUAGUAACAAGAUAUCAACAUGACAGAUAGCAGGCCCUGAAAGAAAUGUCUUUAGAUGAACUCUUUCAACCAACUGCCAAUCAGAAAAUCUUUGAAUCCUCCUACGACAUGGAAGCCACUUCAAGUUGUCCCGCCUUUUUGGACCAAACCAAUGAAAACUCUACUCUCACUGCCCUGUUUGAUCUGCAUAUGAAACUCGGAAAAACCAUAAGACACCUGGACGACAGCUGGCCAGAAGCUGCCCCGUACCCUAACCCGCAAGGAUGUGGACACAUUUCUAGAAAUCACUCCAGCUUUUAAAGUAGAGAGACACUGGCUAUUGAAGCAGAAAAUCUAUGUUGAACACAAGCUGCACCGCAUACUAGCUGAGCAACUAACUACUGGCAUGUUCCUUCACUUGCUGACUUGCAAAACAAAUUUCUUUCCUAUCUAUCUCUUAAGGACACAAGAUAAUAUAAUAUUGUUAAUAUUACAUUUAUUAAUGAUGUAAUAUAUGAGAAAACACAUUGUAAACUCUAAAAUACUAAAAAUGUAAGGAAACUGUACUAGCAGUAUCAAGAUAUUUUCCCAUCAUAACAGCUAACAGUUAUUCUAUUGUUGUAGUCAGCCAUUUUUCUCUCAAUUCUGUUAAAAUAAAA